This is a non-coding RNA of Paramuricea clavata, 245 nucleotides long. The record is from the annotation of a GenBank genome assembly. Lineage: Eukaryota; Metazoa; Cnidaria; Anthozoa; Malacalcyonacea; Plexauridae.
UUUCAGUAUUACUAAUCCCAAAGUGAUGUUAAAUAUUAGGGUGUCGGUUAGCAUUAGCCAUUAGGGAUCGACUUUGGGUUAAGAUUUUGGAUUGAAUUAGGCUUAGAGUAUGGGUUAAGGUUAGAGAUUGGAUUAGGGACAGGAUUGCACAAAACACAAUCAUUUCAUUUUGAAAGAACUUCCACAAGUGCAUAAAGUAAGAAGUCCCAUGUUAAUCAUAAAUUGUAAAUAUUAAUAUAUCUUCA